Non-coding RNA from Paramuricea clavata, 995 nucleotides. Lineage: Eukaryota; Metazoa; Cnidaria; Anthozoa; Malacalcyonacea; Plexauridae. The record is from the annotation of a GenBank genome assembly.
UGCAAAGUUGCUUUGCGCUAUAGUCGAGUACGAAAAUUCAAUUGAGUGAUCGAUCAAUGGAUCAAUCGAUAGAGUAAACAAUUUGGGGAAGCUUUCAAAUGAUGCAUGUUUUCUAUAUAACGUUUUAUGUUCGGCCAACUAAUUGUUUAUAACUCUAUAGAUUAUAACUCUAAUCUAUGUUUAUAACUCUAUAGAUUAUUACUAAUUGUUUAUAACGCUAUAGAUUAUAACACUAUAGAGUAGAGAAGCUAUAACCAAAUUACUGUUACAUCUUUAAGCACUUAUGUGAUUUGCCCCCUGCAACAUAAAUCAAACCAAGCAGCACACAUGCUCCCAUCUAAAGGCGACGAUUCUACGGGGUAGCAGAUUUCGCUAAUUUUCAUUUGUUUACGAACUGCAAAUCGCAGUUUAAACAACGUAAUUUUGACGAGCUUUGUUUUCACGAUAUUUGUGAAAGAAAUGAGCAAAAUCGCUGCAAUGAUUGCCGAGAAAAUGCACUUCAUAUCGAUCGAAGGGGUGAGCACAUUUCGAGCAAAGCAUUCUCUUCCCGUGCAACGUCUGUCGUCUUGUUAUGAGGUGAGUGCUUAUUCAUGAUCGUUUGGCAAAUUCUUUUUUCUGUGCCUAUUUCGGCGAUAUUUUUCAACCUCGAUCUCGUAUUAAUUUUACUCUUAAACCUCAGAUCUUUUCCUUUUGAGAUGUUGAACUUGAUAGCAAAAUUCACAAGCAUAACACGAAGUACAAAUUUGAUCCAUAAAAAAGGCAAUAGAACAAAUUAUGGAAAAUUUUCUAUAAAACAUACGGGAACAGAAAUAUGGAAUGGAAUACCAAAAAAAAAAGAAGAUUCAUGUACAAAAAAGAAUUCCAAAACGGAAAUGAAAAUAUAUCUGUUGUCUCAAGACAAACUAUAACAUCAUGUACAUGCAGUGGCGUAGCCAAGGGGGGGGGGGGGGGAGAGGGGGGCGACCGCCCCCCAAUCGCAAAAAAACCAUUCUCUG